This 460-nucleotide ribosomal RNA is filed under the name uncultured bacterium. RNAcentral's name for it is "partial 16S ribosomal RNA". It matches the Rfam family "Bacterial small subunit ribosomal RNA", at positions 338 to 795 of the family's 1533-position model. The record is from RNAcentral.
CCUACGGGAGGCAGCAGUGAGGAAUAUUGGUCAAUGGGCGCGAGCCUGAACCAGCCCAGUAGCGUGAAGGAUGACUGCCCUACGGGUUGUACACUUCUUUUAUAAAGGCAUAAAGUGAGGCACGUGUGCCUUUUUGUAUGUCCUUUAUGAAUAAGGAUCGGCUAACUCCGUGCCAGCAGCCGCGGUAAUACGGAGGAUCCGAGCGGUAUCCGGAUUUAUUGGGUUUAAAGGGAGCGUAGAUGGGUUGGUAAGUCAGUUGUGAAAGUUUGCGGCUCAACCGUAAAAUUGCAAUUGAUACUGGCAGUCUUGAGUACAGUUGAGGUAGGCGGAAUUCGUGGUGUAGCGGUGAAAUGCUUAGAUAUCACGAAGAACUCCGAUUGCGAAGGCAGCUUACUAAACUGCCACUGACAUUGAUGCUCGAAAGUGUGGGUAUCAAACAGGAUUAGAUACCCCAGUAGUC